This 310-nucleotide unclassified non-coding RNA is filed under the name fungal sp. RNAcentral describes it as "partial internal transcribed spacer region". The stretch from base 1 to 46 matches the Rfam family "Eukaryotic small subunit ribosomal RNA", at positions 1786 to 1831 of the family's 1831-position model. Lineage: Eukaryota; Fungi. The record is from RNAcentral.
AAGUCGUAACAAGGUUUCCGUAGGUGAACCUGCGGAAGGAUCAUUCAAGAAAUUGAAUUUUGGCGAACAAAAUUGUAGCCAAAAAUUCAUGUUGAUUUCAUUCAACAAUUAUUGUUGCAAUCUUUUUUGUUGGCUGGGUUGGGUGAUUGUUGGUUUACUUGAUGCUUUCUUGCAUUGAGCAAAACUUGCUUUCGCCUGGAAAACCAUUUUCCCAGCCAUUAUGCCAGGGGGGAUUGAAGUUGAUUUUUCUACAUAAAAUAAUGAAAAAAAUUGUUUAAUACAACUUUUAGCAAUGGAUCUCUUGGCUCAU